Molecule: long non-coding RNA, 116 nt
Organism: Nothoprocta perdicaria
Lineage: Eukaryota; Metazoa; Chordata; Aves; Tinamiformes; Tinamidae
Exons: 2
Source: RefSeq, a predicted model, not a curated record
AGCUGAAACUCUGAACUAGCUYGAAAUCCAGGAGGAGAAUAAGACAGGAGAUCUUCUGACUUAAGAGCUCUGCGGAUGAGCCAUCACUGGGAUUGACAUCUGACAACUCCUUCCCA